RNAcentral lists this long non-coding RNA (1434 nucleotides) under Chrysolophus pictus (golden pheasant). RNAcentral's name for it is "lncRNA (ENSCPIG00010004750.1)". The record is from RNAcentral. Lineage: Eukaryota; Metazoa; Chordata; Aves; Galliformes; Phasianidae.
CCCCAUUGCCCCCCAUACCCUGUUGGCUGCUGUCCUUCUCAUCACCAUCAUCCUCCAAGCUCGAGCUCUCGUCCCCUCCCCGAGGACGCUUCCCCGACGCGUGGAGGUGGCCUUCAGUCGACGUCCCUUCUCCUGGCUGUCCCACCUUUUGUCCCCUUCGUCCCGUCCCAUCUCCUGGGGGUGGUGACAUCCCCGAUUCGUGUUGUCCCAUCCCUUCCUCUUGGCUCUGUGCCUCACAUCCUCCACAUUCUGUCCCCAACCCACGGUGACCCGUCCUUUGUCCCCGCAUCCCUCGGUGUCCUUGACCCGACCUUGGACUCGGGUGCAAAAUCUCACACCUUCCGCGCCCCGGGCUUUGCUGAUCUCCUCCUCGGCCGCAGGGCAACGUCCCAUGUUGACACCACAGCUGCCUCCAUGGAGAUCCACCACCGCCUUCACCUCCUGACCCACGUCUUUUUUGAGCUGUCCCAUGGCCUCCUUGACUUGGCCGAUGUCCUCCUCGACCCCCUGAAGAUCCACCAUCUUCAUCCUUUUUUCCACGUCCUCCUUGACCUUGCUCAUCUUCUCCAUCUUUUCCACGUCCUCCUUGACCUCCUGGUUUUUUCCCUGAAGAUCCACCAUCUUCACCCUUUUUUCCAUGUCCUCCUUGACUUUGCUCAUCUUCUCCAUCUUUUCCUCCUUGACCUCCUGGUUGACUCCCUGAAGAUUCACCAUCUUCACCCUUUUUUCCUUGACCUUGCUCAUGUUCUCCAUCUUUUCCACGUCCUCCUUGACCUCCUGGUUGACUCCAUGGAGAUCCACCAUCUUCACCAUCUUUUCCAUGUCCUCCUUGACCUCCUGGUUGACCCCCUGAAGAUCCACCACCUUCACCCUCUUUUCCACGUCCUUGACCUGUCCCCAACCCGUGGUGACCCAUCCAUUGUCCCCAUUGCUCCAUCCCCACCCCACGAUGCCACUCCCCCUCUCCCUCCGGUUGUCCUCCCCCGUAUCCUCGAGGCCACAACCCAAAUUCUUGGGGUUCAUCCUUCUCUUCUUCGGGAGCCGUCAUCGACCCGGGUCGCGUCCCCAUUUUUGGUGGUGUCCCCAACCAGGCGGAUGUCACCGACCCGGGGGGUUUCCCUAAUUUGGGGUCCUCUUUUGCUGUCCCCGUGGUGUUUUGGGGGUACAUGAAGUGUUCGAGGAUGGGGGUAAAGAAAUUCAUCCAGGACUUCUCCUCCGAGAUGGGCGCAGGGGACGCUGUGGGGAGGUGACAAUGACAAUGGCAGGGGGAGGACACAGGGACAGCACCCCACGUCCCGUUGCGCUCACACAAAAUCCCAAAGACCCCGCGUCCCCCACGCACCCCCACGUCCCUCUCUGUCCUCCCCAUGUCCCCCAAUGUCCCCAAAUGUCCCCCAAUGUCCCCCCCCACCCCCCUCCUCCCCCACACCCCCC